AGUGAACGCUGGCGGUAGGCCUAACACAUGCAAGUCGAACGGCAGCACAGUAAGAGCUUGCUCUUACGGGUGGCGAGUGGCGGACGGGUGAGGAAUACAUCGGAAUCUACUUUUUCGUGGGGGAUAACGUAGGGAAACUUACGCUAAUACCGCAUACGACCUACGGGUGAAAGCAGGGGAUCUUCGGACCUUGCGCGAUUGAAUGAGCCGAUGUCGGAUUAGCUAGUUGGCGGGGUAAAGGCCCACCAAGGCGACGAUCCGUAGCUGGUCUGAGAGGAUGAUCAGCCACACUGGAACUGAGACACGGUACAGACUCCUACGGGAGGCAGCAGUGGGGAAUAUUGGACAAUGGGCGAAAGCCUGAUACAGCCAUACCGCGUGGGUGAAGAAGGACUUAGGGUUGUAAAGCCCUUUUGUUGGGAAAGAAAAGCAGCAGGUUAAUACCCCGCUGUUAUGACGGUACCCAAAGAAUAAGCACCGGCUAACUUCGUG
RNAcentral lists this ribosomal RNA (492 nucleotides) under uncultured bacterium. Its description in RNAcentral is "partial 16S ribosomal RNA". It matches the Rfam family "Bacterial small subunit ribosomal RNA", at positions 29 to 507 of the family's 1533-position model. The record is from RNAcentral.